RNAcentral lists this ribosomal RNA (470 nucleotides) under uncultured bacterium. RNAcentral describes it as "bacterial SSU rRNA". It matches the Rfam family "Bacterial small subunit ribosomal RNA", at positions 330 to 797 of the family's 1533-position model. The record is from RNAcentral.
UGCGAACUCCUACGGGAGGCAGCAGUGAGGAAUAUUGGUCAAUGGGCGAGAGCCUGAACCAGCCAAGUAGCGUGCGGGAUGAAGGCCCUUGUGGUCGUAAACCGCUUUUAUCAGUGAAUAAAGUGCAUCACGUGUGGUGUCAUUGCAGGUAGCUGAAGAAAAAGGACCGGCUAAUUCCGUGCCAGCAGCCGCGGUAAUACGGAAGGUCCGGGCGUUAUCCGGAAUUAUUGGGUUUAAAGGGAGCGCAGGCGGGAGUAUAAGUCAGCUGUUAAAUAUCAGGGCCCAACUCUGUUAUGCAGUUGAAACUAUAUUUCUUGAGUACGCACAGGGAUGGCGGAAUUCAGGGUGUAGCGGUGAAAUGCUUAGAUAUCCUGAAGAACUCCGAUCGCGAAGGCAGCCAUCCGGAGCGUAACUGACGCUGAGGCUCGAAGGUGCGGGUAUCAAACAGGAUUAGAUACCCUUGUAGUCCU